This 292-nucleotide ribosomal RNA is filed under the name uncultured bacterium. RNAcentral describes it as "partial 16S ribosomal RNA". It matches the Rfam family "Bacterial small subunit ribosomal RNA", at positions 505 to 796 of the family's 1533-position model. The record is from RNAcentral.
GUGCCAGCCGCCGCGGUAAUACGUAGGUGGCAAGCGUUGUCCGGAAUUACUGGGCGUAAAGAGCGCGUAGGCGGGAAUUUAAGUCAGGAGUGAAAACUGGCGGCUCAACCGCCAGCCUGCUCUUGAAACUGGAUUUCUUGAGGGUAUGAGAGGAAAGCGGAAUUCCCAGUGUAGCGGUGAAAUGCGUAGAUAUUGGGAGGAACACCAGUGGCGAAGGCGGCUUUCUGGCAUACAACUGACGCUGAGGCGCGAAAGCGUGGGGAGCAAACGGGAUUAGAUACCCUGGUAGUCC